GUGCUCGCUUCAGCAGCACAUAUACUGAAAUUGGAACCAUACAGAGAAGAUUAGCAUGGCCCCCGCACAAGGACGAUACACAAAUUCGUGAAGCGCUCCGUAUUUUU
Molecule: small nuclear RNA, 107 nt
Filed under: Rhinolophus ferrumequinum (greater horseshoe bat)
Lineage: Eukaryota; Metazoa; Chordata; Mammalia; Chiroptera; Rhinolophidae
Source: RNAcentral